This 203-nucleotide long non-coding RNA is filed under the name Pelobates cultripes (western spadefoot toad). The stretch from base 33 to 203 matches the Rfam family "Eukaryotic large subunit ribosomal RNA", at positions 1640 to 1810 of the family's 3401-position model. The record is from RNAcentral. Lineage: Eukaryota; Metazoa; Chordata; Amphibia; Anura; Pelobatidae.
GCGGAGACGUGCGCCCCUUCGGGGGCGUCCAGUGCGGCGACGCGACCGAUCCCGGAGAAGCCGUCGGGAGCCCCGGGUAGAGUUCUCUUUUCUUUGUGAAGGGCAGGGCGCCCUGGAACGGGUUCGCCCCGAGAGAGGGGCCCGCACCUUGGAAAGCGUCGCAGUUCCGGCGGCGUCCGGUGAACUCUCGCCGGCCCUUGAAA